Sarcophilus harrisii (Tasmanian devil) is the source of this 109-nucleotide small nuclear RNA. NCBI's taxonomy places the organism in Eukaryota, Metazoa, Chordata, Mammalia, Dasyuromorphia, Dasyuridae. The record is from Ensembl.
AUAUAUAUUUUAAGGAGAAAAGGUUAGCACUCCCCUCCACAAGAAUGGAUGCUGUCCUAUUGGCCCACAUAACACAUAAGAGUAUGGAUAAGGAAAUACUUUCUUUUGU